This 23-nucleotide non-coding RNA is filed under the name Arabidopsis thaliana (thale cress). Lineage: Eukaryota; Viridiplantae; Streptophyta; Magnoliopsida; Brassicales; Brassicaceae. The record is from RNAcentral.
CUUAGUAAUGCCAAAAUGUCCCA